GGAUGUGAGGGCGAUCUGGCUGUGACAUCUCACACCCCACUGAUCGCUAGGGUUAAUUCAGUUGAUCUGGCUGGCAAGACAGGUGCCCCCUUCCUCCUUCAUCACUCCAUGUGCUUCCCUCCUGAAGUUAUGUGCUCAACAAAGAUGGCCUUCCCUGAAUAGAGACAGACCAGUCUUCGGUCAAGGGGCAUAUGGUUAGUUGUUCUUCCCUGCUAGAACUUCCAAACAAAUUGUCAAGAAACAAGGGCCUGAGACAGCACUGAGACAGUGAUUGAUACACUCAAGAUUGUCCUGUUGAGUUUACUU
This is an unclassified non-coding RNA of Erinaceus europaeus (western European hedgehog), 306 nucleotides long. Its record names the gene 7SK. It matches the Rfam family "7SK RNA". Rfam says of the family: 7SK was discovered as an abundant small nuclear RNA in the mid-70s but a possible function has only recently been suggested. Two independent studies have found that 7SK RNA binds the CDK9/cyclin T complex (known as elongation factor P-TEFb). Lineage: Eukaryota; Metazoa; Chordata; Mammalia; Eulipotyphla; Erinaceidae. The record is from Ensembl.